This is a small nuclear RNA of Phyllostomus discolor (pale spear-nosed bat), 164 nucleotides long. RefSeq annotates it as U1 spliceosomal RNA. Lineage: Eukaryota; Metazoa; Chordata; Mammalia; Chiroptera; Phyllostomidae. The record is from RefSeq and is a predicted model, not a curated record. The transcript has a single exon.
UUACUUACCUAGUGGGAGAGAUACCAUGAUCACAAACGUGGUUUUCCCAGGGUGAGGCUUAUCCACUGCACUAUGGAUGUGCUGACCCCUGUGAUUUCCACAAAUGUGGGAGACUCGACUGCAUAAUUUGUAGUAGUGGGGGACUGCGUUCACACUCUCUCCUA